RNAcentral lists this ribosomal RNA (253 nucleotides) under uncultured bacterium. RNAcentral's name for it is "partial 16S ribosomal RNA". It matches the Rfam family "Bacterial small subunit ribosomal RNA", at positions 524 to 776 of the family's 1533-position model. The record is from RNAcentral.
UACGAAGGGGGCGAGCGUUGUUCGGAUUUACUGAGCGUAAAGGGCGCGCAGGCGGUCUUGAAAGUCAGGCGUGAAAGCCCCGGGCUUAACCUGGGAAUUGCGCUUGAUACUCUGAGACUGGAGUACGGGAGAGGAGAGUGGAAUUCCCAGUGUAGAGGUGAAAUUCGUAGAUAUUGGGAAGAACACCAGUGGCGAAGGCGGCUCUCUGGACCGUAACUGACGCUGAGGCGCGAAAGCGUGGGGAGCAAACAGG